Xenopus tropicalis (tropical clawed frog) is the source of this 45-nucleotide non-coding RNA. NCBI's taxonomy places the organism in Eukaryota, Metazoa, Chordata, Amphibia, Anura, Pipidae. The record is from Rfam.
AAAUUGGUCUUUUUAGAGACCACAACCAUGAUCUGAACCAACUUA